RNAcentral lists this long non-coding RNA (1830 nucleotides) under Elaeis guineensis (African oil palm). RNAcentral describes it as "long non-coding RNA (EGUI_LNC076548)". Lineage: Eukaryota; Viridiplantae; Streptophyta; Magnoliopsida; Arecales; Arecaceae. The record is from RNAcentral.
AGAGUUAGAUAGAUUACUUCUUCCAGAUGAGUUAUCCAGUGGAACCCAGAGAGAUUUUGGGGGUCUAUCAUGAUAUGGAGAUUUGGUGUGACACUCCUCUAGGAUACUAUUAUAAUCCCAACAUCUUCAAAUCGCAUCAACACUCCUCUAGAUUUUGGACAUCAACAUGUAUUUUGUAUUUUAAAUGCAUUAAAAUACAUUCAAUAUUUCAAUUUGUUUUAUUUUAUAUGUUUUUACUUAUAAAUAUAUCGAUUAGUCAUUUGGUCUACUAUUAUUCCCUUUCAUGAUAAGAAAAACAUCAAAAAGACAUCAAAUAUGCAUCAAACCAGAUUAAAUUAGAAAUUAACAAAGAAUUCCAUUACAAUUUUUAACCACAAAUAAAAAAAUAGGAAAUGAAAAAAUGAAAAAGAAAAAAAAGAAAAAAAAAUAUGCCAAGGCGUACCAAGUGUCGGUAGGGUGUCGAACCGGUGUAUCACUGGCCAACCAGUAUGGGUUCCAUUACUAGUUUGGCUUAACAUUGCUUUGGAGAGAUUGAAAACUUGGCUUCUAACAAAAGAUAGACAUAGAUCAACGUAAUUAAUUAUUUUGAAAGCAUCCGUCAAGUGGCUGAGCAUGUUUAUGUAGAAGAAUGUUUAUUUUUAAAUGAAUGAAUUUUCUUUUGUUAUUCUGUGAUUUGUUUGGCUUAAGUUGCUUGUACCGGAGACAUUGUUUCUAAAGAAAAAAUUCGUCCGAUCGCAUCGGAUGUCAAGAAGGUAGAAUAUAUUAGCAAUUGAAAUUUUCAUAAUGUUAUGAAUUCUCACCUUGAUUCACAGUGAAAAAAGAGAUCAAGGUUGAAGAAGCUUCUCUAUCAAUAUGCUUCACGAGAUUCGGACGUGUGAAUCCUCUACUUCGCAUGCACGCUAAACACUGUAGAAAAGAUGGAUGAACGUCUUCUUCGGAGAAGAAGGAGAAGAACUCUUGAGAUCUGAUCUUAAGCCUUGGAAUAGCCCACACGCCGCCACCAAAGAAUGGAGGAUGCCAAGAGGAGAGAAAUGCUUAGGGAGAGGUGAUGCCUAAUAUGAGGGGACACCCACACUAAAAGGAUCUCCACAUCUAGGCCAAGGUUAAUUGAUUAAUUCUCUUCUCCACACCCCUCUUUAAAUAGACAAGAUGUUCUACAUCAAAUCAAACUCCUUAAGAUGAUAGGAACAGGAUUCUCCAUGUUUGAAUCAAAUCCAAACUCCAUAAAAUAUAAAGAUUCCUAAACCAAGUAGGAGAGGCGUCAACUUAUGCCUCCCUUCAUUGUGCCGCAUGCCCAAGGGAAGGGGGUUGUUUCCAGCCCCUUCCCAACCACCUUGAUCGGCCUACAUGGUAAGAGAAUAGCUGAAAAAUAUGGCUAAGUGGAUCAAAUCAGAUUUGGAUCAAUUCGAAUUCAAUUCGAACUCGAUUCGAACCAAUUUUGAAAAGAUUGUUGAUCCUAAUCCAAUUAGAAUUUUUGUCCCAGUCUAACUUGAUAAAUUAAUCCAAUCAAGUCUUAAUAAAAUUAAGUCUAAUUAAAUUAAAUCUGAUCUAAAAUAAUGAGAAUUCUAAUUGAAUCUCUCAUAAUUGCUUAGAUCAUUGAUUUGAUUUAAUUCAUCUCCGAAAUCAAACCCGCACCUCAUGCGCAGUGUUAGCUGAACAUAAUCAGUGUUUAAUUUCGUAUGACCUACAACUUAAUUCUUAAUUAUAUUAAUCUACAUGUUCAAUCAAGUCUCAUACUUUCAAAUUGAUCAUAUAAAUAUUUGAUCUAUUUUUUUCUACAUUGUUUGAUUUUUGUGCACGACUCUAUAGGUUCGAACACUAAGCCGGUAG